UCUCCUGUGGCUCAGUUGGUAGAGCAUUGUGCUAACAAAACAAAAGUUGUGGGUUCAAAUACCCUCCAAAAAUG
Molecule: non-coding RNA, 74 nt
Organism: Danionella cerebrum
Lineage: Eukaryota; Metazoa; Chordata; Actinopteri; Cypriniformes; Danionidae
Source: the annotation of a GenBank genome assembly